This 587-nucleotide ribosomal RNA is filed under the name uncultured bacterium. RNAcentral describes it as "partial 16S ribosomal RNA". It matches the Rfam family "Bacterial small subunit ribosomal RNA", at positions 356 to 1375 of the family's 1533-position model. The record is from RNAcentral.
UGGGAAUUUUGGACAAUGGGCGAAAGCCUGAUCCAGCAAUGCCGCGUGUGUGAAGAAGGCCUUCGGGUUGUAAAGCACUUUUGUCCGGAAAGAAAUCCUUGGCUCUAAUACAGUCGGGGGAUGACGGUACCGGAAGAAUAAGCACCGGCUAACUACGUGCCAGCAGCCGCGGUAAUACGUAGGGUGCAAGCGUUAAUCGGAAUUACUGGGCGUAAAGCGUGCGCAGGCGGUUUGCUAAGACCGAUGUGAAAUCCCCGGGCUCAACCUGGGAACUGCAUUGGUGACUGGCAGGCUAGAGUAUGGCAGAGGGGGGUAGAAUUCCACGUGUAGCAGUGAAAUGCGUAGAGAUGUGGAGGAAUACCGAUGGCGAAGGCAGCCCCCUGGGCCAAUACUGACGCUCAUGCACGAAAGCGUGGGGAGCAAAACAGGAUUAGAUACCCCUGGUAGUCCACGCCCUAAAACGAUGUCAACUAGUUGUUGGGGAUUCAUUUCCUUAGUAACGUAGCUAACGCGUGAAGUUGACCGCCUGGGGAGUACGGUCGCAAGAUUAAAACUCAAAGGAAUUGACGGGGUCAUAGCUGUUUCCU